RNAcentral lists this ribosomal RNA (253 nucleotides) under uncultured bacterium. RNAcentral describes it as "partial 16S ribosomal RNA". It matches the Rfam family "Bacterial small subunit ribosomal RNA", at positions 524 to 776 of the family's 1533-position model. The record is from RNAcentral.
UACGUAGGGUGCAAGCGUUGUCCGGAAUUAUUGGGCGUAAAGAGCUCGUAGGCGGCUUUCUAAGUCGGGGGUGAAAUCCUGGAGCUCAACUCCAGAACUGCCUUCGAUACUGGAGAGCUUGAGUCCGGGAGAGGUGAGUGGAACUGCGAGUGUAGAGGUGAAAUUCGUAGAUAUUCGCAAGAACACCAGUGGCGAAGGCGGCUCACUGGCCCGAUACUGACGCUGAGGCACGAAAGCGUGGGGAGCAAACAGG